This 222-nucleotide ribosomal RNA is filed under the name uncultured bacterium. RNAcentral describes it as "partial 16S ribosomal RNA". It matches the Rfam family "Bacterial small subunit ribosomal RNA", at positions 521 to 742 of the family's 1533-position model. The record is from RNAcentral.
UAAUACGAAGGGUGCAAACGUUGCUCGGAAUCAUUGGGCGUAAAGCGCACGUAGGCGGCCUUGCAAGUCGGAUGUGAAAUCCCACGGCUCAACCGUGGACGUGCAUCCGAAACUGCUCGGCUCGAGUAUGGAAGAGGGUCGCGGAAUUCCCGGUGUAGAGGUGAAAUUCGUAGAUAUCGGGAGGAACACCAGUGGCGAAGGCGGCGACCUGGGCCAAUACUG